This 908-nucleotide ribosomal RNA is filed under the name Salmonella enterica subsp. enterica serovar Typhimurium. Its description in RNAcentral is "partial 23S ribosomal RNA". It matches the Rfam family "Bacterial large subunit ribosomal RNA", at positions 592 to 1415 of the family's 2925-position model. The record is from RNAcentral. Lineage: Bacteria; Pseudomonadati; Pseudomonadota; Gammaproteobacteria; Enterobacterales; Enterobacteriaceae.
UGUGACUGCGUACCUUUUGUAUAAUGGGUCAGCGACUUAUAUUCUGUAGCAAGGUUAACCGUAUAGGGGAGCCGGAGGGAAACCGAGUCUUAACCGGGCGUUAAGUUGCAGGGUAUAGACCCGAAACCCGGUGAUCUAGCCAUGGGCAGGUUGAAGGUUGGGUAACACUAACUGGAGGACCGAACCGACUAAUGUUGAAAAAUUAGCGGAUGACCUGUGGCUGGGGGUGAAAGGCCAAUCAAACCGGGAGAUAGCUGGUUCUCCCCGAAAGCUAUUUAGGUAGCGCCUCGUGAAUUCAUCUCCGGGGGUAGAGCACUGUUUCGGCUAGGGGGCCAUCCCGGCUUACCAACCCGAUGCAAACUGCGAAUACCGGAGAAUGUUAUCACGGGAGACACACGGCGGGUGCUAACGUCCGUCGUGAAGAGGGAAACAACCCAGACCGCCAGCUAAGGUCCCAAAGUCAUGGUUAAGUGGGAAACGAUGUGGGAAGGCCCAGACAGCCAGGAUGUUGGCUUAGAAGCAGCCAUCAUUUAAAGAAAGCGUAAUAGCUCACUGGUCGAGUCGGCCUGCGCGGAAGAUGUAACGGGGCUAAACCAUGCACCGAAGCUGCGGCAGCGAACGUAUCACCCAAGACAACUUUACGGAGUUGACGAUUGACGGAGCGAAGCGACGUCAAAGCGUUCAUUAAAGUCGAGUUGGCUUAGGGAUACGUUCGUUGGGUAGGGGAGCGUUCUGUAAGCCUGUGAAGGUGUGUCGUGAGGCAUGCUGGAGGUAUCAGAAGUGCGAAUGCUGACAUAAGUAACGAUAAAGCGGGUGAAAAGCCCGCUCGCCGGAAGACCAAGGGUUCCUGUCCAACGUUAAUCGGGGCAGGGUGAGUCGACCCCUAAGGCGAGGCCGAAAGGCGUAGU